RNAcentral lists this ribosomal RNA (483 nucleotides) under uncultured bacterium. RNAcentral's name for it is "bacterial SSU rRNA". It matches the Rfam family "Bacterial small subunit ribosomal RNA", at positions 17 to 507 of the family's 1533-position model. The record is from RNAcentral.
UCAUGGCUCAGGAUGAACGCUGGCGGCGUGCCUAAUACAUGCAAGUCGAGCGGUAAGGCUUUCACUCUGUAUUUAAUGAGUUGAAUAUAGUGUGAAAGUACACGAGCGGCGGACGGCUGAGUAACGCGUAGGAACGUACCCCAAAGUGAGGGGAUAAGCACCGGAAACGGUGUCUAAUACCGCAUGUGAUCUUCGGAUUAAAGCUUUAUGCGCUUUGGGAGCGGCCUGCGUAAGAUUAGUUUGUUGGUGAGGUAAUGGCUCACCAAGACUACGAUCUUUAGCUGGUCUGAGAGGAUGAUCAGCCAGACUGGGACUGAGACACGGCCCAGACUCCUACGGGAGGCAGCAGUAGGGAAUUUCCACAAUGGACGAAAGUCUGAUGGAGCAACGCCGCGUGCAGGAUGAAGGCCUUCGGGUUGUAAACUGCUUUUAUCUGUGACGAUUAUGACGGUAGCAGAUGAAUAAGGAUCGGCUAACUCCGUG